UUCCGGUUGAUCCUGCCGGACCCCACUGCUAUCGAGAUGGGACUAAGGUAUGCUAGUCGAACGACCAGAACUAUGUCUGGAAGUGGCACACUGCUCAGUAACACGUAGCUAACCUACCCUUAGGACGUGGAUACCCCCGAGAAAUUGGGGUUAAUCCGCGAUAGGUGUAAUGUCCUGGAAUGGUAUUACGCCUAAAGGUGUAUCAUACAUGUUUGAUAUACGCCUAAGGAUGGGGCUGCGGCCGAUCAGGCUGUUGGUGAGGUAAUGGCUCACCAAACCUUUGACCGGUACGGGCCAUGAGAGUGGUAGCCCGGAGAUGGACACUGAGACAAGGGUCCAGGCCCUAAGGGGCGCAGCAACCGCGAAACCUCCACAAUGCACUCACGUGCGAUGGGGCUAUCUCGAGUGCCACCUGAUGAAGGUGGCUUUUCCUAGGUCUUCAAAGCCUUGGGAAUAAGAGGGGGGCAAGACUGGUGUCAGCCGCCGCGGUAACACCAGCCCCUCGAGUGGUGGGGAUGAUUAUUUGGCCUAAAGCGUCCGUAGCCGGCCGAGCAAGUCUUCCGUUAAAUCCAGCGUCUCAAGCGUUGGACUGCGGGAGAUACUACACGGCUAGAGAGUGGGAGAGGUCAGCGGUAUUCUGGGGGUAGGGGCGAAAUCCUUUGAUCCCCGGAGGACCACCAGUGGCGAAGGCUGCUGACUAGAACACGUCUGACGGUCAGGGACGAAAGCUGGGGUAGCGAACCGGAUUAGAUACC
This 755-nucleotide ribosomal RNA is filed under the name uncultured archaeon. RNAcentral describes it as "bacterial SSU rRNA". It matches the Rfam family "Archaeal small subunit ribosomal RNA", at positions 1 to 737 of the family's 1478-position model. The record is from RNAcentral.